RNAcentral lists this long non-coding RNA (2394 nucleotides) under Panax ginseng (ginseng). RNAcentral describes it as "long non-coding RNA (PGIN_LNC006052)". Lineage: Eukaryota; Viridiplantae; Streptophyta; Magnoliopsida; Apiales; Araliaceae. The record is from RNAcentral.
AGGUUAUCUAACCUUUAAUUACAAUCAUUCAAAUGCGGAAAUUAAAUAAACUUCAUUAAAACCAAGUCUAAGAUUAUCAUAAUAAAAAUCUAACAUCUCAAUCAAAGUAAAAUUACAAGUCUUCAUCACUUGCACAUUUUUUCCUUUCCUUUGCUAGUCGAAGGUUUAUCUACCUUCUCCUCUUUAGCUGCAAUGAGUUUAUAAAUAUGCAAGAGUGAGUGAAACGAUUGCUCACUAGAUACAAUAUGAAAUCAACAGGAGUAUAGUAAUAAUAACUGCCAAUAAUAGGCUCAUCAACAAUGAAUAGUACUCUAUCAACAAUAAUCAGGAACUGAAAUCCAAAAUGUGGAAUAAAUAUAAUUGAGGGUCAUAAGACCAUGAACUAUGUCCACAGUUGCGAGUAAUCUUUCAACUCCAACUUUAACAGUCAUAAGACUAUAAGGACUCCUCGUACUUAGGGGGAUCAGCCCUUCGUACCAUGUAUUGUGCACAAACAUUUAACGCUACGCGUAAGUUAUCCCCUAAUAAUAAUAGGGUUGUUCAUCUCAGUAUUUGGAGUACAAGUCCGCACCAAAGAGAGUUUGGUUUGGAUAAGCUUUCAAGGGUAAUUUGAAGUUCAACGAUCAUCAACUAGAGGACUAGUUGAAUUAAUAACAUCAUAUUACAGAAUAAUCGUAAUUGAAUCAACAUGGUAAACCAAAAUCAUGCUUUAGGAAUAAUCUAAUAGCAUAUACUUUGAAUAACUAUAACAUGCCUUGCUUGAACAAUAUUAAGUCAAGGUUAAUUAGAAUUGAGUACUAAGCAUGCAUAACAGUUUGAACGAUGAAAUUGCUCAACAUUAGUAUAAAUAGUUGUGCAUGCUAAACAACAAGUUAAAUACAAGAAUAACUUGUCAACAUCAAACCAAAGUUUAGGAAGCUUGCAUCAUUUAUAAAGUAAUCGAAUUGAAUAAAUAGUUCAACAAGAUAAAGAAUUAGAAAACUUGCAUUACUAUAUUGGGAACAAUAAUUGAUUCCAAUUACAAAAGUAGAGUUAGAGAACUUGCCUUGCUCGUAGGCUAAACCAAAUCAAUACGAAUCACAAUAUCCUAUAAACAUAUGUCAUCAUGACAUAAUUAGUCAUUACCAUCUUACAAACAUAACUAAGUACGUUCAUCAUUUAAAAUUGGAUUUUUAAUCACAUAAUCGAGUUAUAACACAAGUUAAUCGUUAAUAACAUACUUAUUCAUAGUAUAGAUAUACUAAAAUUAACAUUUAGCAGUCCUACUAUCAUCACAUAACUUUUCUUAAAAUUUCAUGUACAAAAAGUACACUGUCAGACCAUUCUGCUAACUCGCGCUGCGGCGUGGGCAUGGCGCUGCGACGCGGAGAUCAAGGCUACAAGGCCGCACUGCAGCGUGAGUAUGGCGAUGCGGCGCCACAAAGGUACUGCAAGUCCGCGCUGCGGCGCCGAAUUGCAGACCUCGGCAGACAGCCUUGGCAACAUCAUAGAAAAAGCCAAUUUUGGCCUACAAGCUCGUUUCUAACAGACUAAUUAGCACAUAAAUCAUAUAGAGACUUCAUAUAAACAUAUUUCAAAAACUCUAAACAUGAUUUUACCCAUACAACAACAUAAACAACAAAAUUAACACACCCAAAUUCACUGUUUUUGGCUAAAACUUAUUUUUUUAUAUUUCAAUGAAAAUCAACACUGUAACUUUUGUUUUUCAACCAAAACCACUAAUCCAAAGUGUCUUUAUCAAUGAUUAUACAUACUCUAACAAAUUAAACGAUCAAUUAAUCAACUAAACCACUAAUUCACCCUCAAUUUCUACUUUAAGCUAAACAAUAUAUUUUCAUAAAAACUCUCUGUAAAAACAUUUUCUUUACAAACAUAUACAUAACCACAAUACAUUGAUUAUAAUCAUAUAUAUCCUAUGAAAAUAACCUUACAACACUAGUUUAUCACAUGAACACACAUAAAAUCAACAACUAUAUUAACACAAGAAUUUUACAGAGAAAUAGGAGAAGAGAAAACUAAAACUUUUAAAACUAAAAAGGUAGAAGAAUACCUUGAUAGAAGAUGAUGGUUAUCCUUAAGAUUAUCAAGCCUUUCUCCAACUUCACUCCCAAAUUCUAGGAUUCUCUCUCACUUCUCCACUUUUCUUCUUCUCUUCUUCUUCUUCCUCUGAGCUUUUCUUUUCUUUUCUCUAACCUCUCUCCUCUAUUCUUACGUAUAAUAAUAUAACGUAUAUAAUAUAAUAGGUACUAAUUAUAUAAUAGUAUAACUGAUAUCAGUUAUAAUAGAUUUGAAAAUCAAAAGUCAUAAGGCUUGUUUGGUUACUAACUAAAAAAAUAACCCAUUAAUCCUUACACCUUGUUUGGUAAAACUCAAAUAGAAUAAAGACUUAAUAAG